This 431-nucleotide long non-coding RNA is filed under the name Olea europaea subsp. europaea. Lineage: Eukaryota; Viridiplantae; Streptophyta; Magnoliopsida; Lamiales; Oleaceae. The record is from RNAcentral.
UAAAAUCUGUACCAAACAAACUCUUAAUCACAAAUCAUCCAAUUGUAAAUUUCUAAAAUAAAAAUGCAUGAUCAAGUGAAGAACUAAAGAAGAAACCCUAUCUGCCCAUUCCCACUAGGGCUCCUUGCCACCAUCUCGUAUCUCUCGCCACCAACCACCUCUACUCAACUCAUUUCACAUUUCCUCACUUAUAUGGCUCCAUCUCAAUCAUUCUCGCCAAGUGAUGUGGUGGUGGCCGCGCUUUUGGGGUGUUUAGUGGUGCUCGUGAUUUAUGGGUGUAGUGGUGGACCGAUGGUUGUGGUGGUGGAUCGAUGGUUGUUGUUUAUGUCUAUGAUGGUGGUAGUGGUUUACGACUAGCCUUAAUCAUUUGAACCAAAGAUUUUUCAAUUUGAGGAGAUUUGAUUUUAAAAAAGGCGUCAAUUCAGUUUUCA